AGCGAACGCUGGCGGCAGGCUUAACACAUGCAAGUCGAGCGGGCAUCCUUGUGGUGUCAGCGGCAGACGGGUGAGUAACGCGUGGGAACGUGCCCUUCGGUUCGGAAUAACUCAGGGAAACUUGAGCUAAUACCGGAUACGUGCGAGAGCAGAAAGGUUUAUCUGCCGAAGGAUCGGCCCGCGUCUGAUUAGCUAGUUGGUGAGGUUACGGCUCACCAAGGCGACGAUCAGUAGCUGUUCUGAGAAGAUGAUCAGCCACACUGGGACUGAGACACGGCCCAGACUCCUACGGGAGGCAGCAGUGGGGAAUAUUGGACAAGGGGGGCAACCCUGAUCCAGCCAUGCCGCGUGAGUGAUGACGGCCUUAGGGUUGUAAAGCUCUUUUCUCCGGGACGAUAAUGACGGUACCGGAGGAAUAAGCCCCGGCUAACUUCGUG
RNAcentral lists this ribosomal RNA (437 nucleotides) under uncultured bacterium. RNAcentral's name for it is "partial 16S ribosomal RNA". It matches the Rfam family "Bacterial small subunit ribosomal RNA", at positions 29 to 507 of the family's 1533-position model. The record is from RNAcentral.